Molecule: non-coding RNA, 1472 nt
Organism: Camellia sinensis
Lineage: Eukaryota; Viridiplantae; Streptophyta; Magnoliopsida; Ericales; Theaceae
Source: RefSeq, a predicted model, not a curated record
UCCCUAGUUUGAUUCGGGAUUGGAACGGGUCGGUCCAGGUACUAAUAAGAAAAAUAUCUGAAAAUAUUUUUGGUCGGCGAUGAUGGAAAGAUAGGAAAUUUGUGUCUGUCUCCGGAACGCCGCACUGAAGAUUGUUAGGUUUCCGACCAAUUAUUGUUAAAUCAUGUUAUAUAGGCACGUUCACUGCAAAAAUGAAUCCAUUUGAACAAUUUGAGGGCAGUAAUUCUCAUAUUCAGCCCAAAGAGCAUAGUGCUAGCCCUCAGGCUAAAGAUGGAUGGAAGAAAAUGGGAUGUGAAGAAAAGAAGGCAGCAGGUCAUGAAGAAAUGAAGAGAACGAACAAACUUCCUGCAAACAGCACAUAUGGAUUUGAGUAUUAGAUUAACUUGGAGUUUGUAUAUGAGAAAAGAACUACAUCACAGGAGGAGGAGUUGGAGUUGCUUUUUGCCAGGCUGUCUAUCUGAUCAGAAAUCUGGAGGCAGUGGUUGGUUUCAAUUAAUUUUGCAUUGUCGGUUCUAAAUUAUCAUUUCCAAAUUGUGAUUUGUGUAACAGCUUUGUUCUUGCAAUAAUUACUUUUCUUUGGAUUUCUUAAUUUAUCAUUUAAAUUUGUUGCGGAAUAUCAGGUCAUGGAUGUGUCAUACCCAAAGUAGUCUGGCCAAAAACUUGCAUAAAAAAUUAGAGAACGUUCACAUCUCUAGCAUGCUUACAUGUAAUGCUUGUGAAUACACUAUGUAGCUCACUCUAAGACAUACUCUUGCUGUUCAAUUCAUGGCUGGAUAGGUUGGCCUACUGGUACAACUCUUCAUUGUAAAUUAGUUGACUCGAGCCCCAGUAUUCAACCAACAUUUGGCUACCGUUUCUUUCAACCGCAUUGGGUCACUGCUUCAUUGGAUAGAGCACUCUAUCACAACCACUCAGAGCACUCACAAAGACAUUUUUUCAUUCUGUAAAGAUUUGAGACUGGGAGAUGGUUCAUCUCUAUUCAAUGCAUUGUGGUCCUCAAGUUACUUCAAAUUGCUGAACUCGUUGAAACUGGUAAUUUCUAGGGCAUGAACCGGGCUUAUACUUCAUAGGGCAUGAAAGCUUUUGCUGUUGAGUAAAAGGUUUGUCCUUUAUUAGGCUGUCGAUGUGAGCUAUGAUGCCCACAAAAUGAUGGCCAUUGUACAGGUGAUUUUUUCUUCCCUUGAGUUUAGUCAGAAGCACGAGACUUCUAUGGGAAGGAAUCUUCAUAUAUCUUGUAGUUCAAGAUUUUAAUAUUUCUUUUGUUGCUGUAGGUCGGGAAAGGGUUGAAUAUGUUGGCAUUUCUUUACUUUGUCUGAUUUUCCAAUGCAUUUAUACAAAAGUCUUGUGCAAGUAACAAGCAAAUGAAAAAUCAGACCAUGUUGAUUGAAUCCAUGUGUAAUGGAGAUGGAAUGUAGAAACUAUUGUUCUUUCAAAGUGAUGUAAUUUCUAUUUGGGAGCUUUUAGUUGUCAAA